This 903-nucleotide ribosomal RNA is filed under the name uncultured bacterium. Its description in RNAcentral is "bacterial SSU rRNA". It matches the Rfam family "Bacterial small subunit ribosomal RNA", at positions 9 to 901 of the family's 1533-position model. The record is from RNAcentral.
GAGUUUGAUCCUGGCUCAGGAUGAACGCUAGCGAUAGGCUUAACACAUGCAAGUCGAGGGGCAGCAUGAUCUUAGCUUGCUAAGGUCGAUGGCGACCGGCGCACGGGUGCGUAACGCGUAUGCAACUUGCCUUACAGAGGGGGAUAACCCGUUGAAAGACGGACUAAAACCGCAUACACUUGUAUUAUUGCAUGAUAUUACAAGGAAAUAUUUAUAGCUGUAAGAUAGGCAUGCGUCCCAUUAGCUUGUUGGUGAGGUAACGGCUCACCAAGGCGACGAUGGGUAGGGGAACUGAGAGGUUUAUCCCCCACACUGGUACUGAGACACGGACCAGACUCCUACGGGAGGCAGCAGUGAGGAAUAUUGGUCAAUGGGCGAGAGCCUGAACCAGCCAAGUCGCGUGAAGGAAGACAGUCCUAAGGAUUGUAAACUUCUUUUAUACGGGAAUAACGGGCGAUACGAGUAUUGCAUUGAAUGUACCGUAAGAAUAAGCAUCGGCUAACUCCGUGCCAGCAGCCGCGGUAAUACGGAGGAUGCGAGCGUUAUCCGGAUUUAUUGGGUUUAAAGGGUGCGUAGGUUGUUCGGUAAGUCAGCGGUGAAACCUGAGCGCUCAACGUUCAGCCUGCCGUUGAAACUGCCGGGCUUGAGUUCAGUGGCGGCAGGCGGAAUUCGUGGUGUAGCGGUGAAAUGCAUAGAUAUCACGAGGAACUCCGAUUGCGAAGGCAGCUUGCCAUACUGCGACUGACACUGAAGCACGAAGGCGUGGGGUAUCAAACAGGAUUAGAUACCCUGGUAGUCCACGCAGUAAACGAUGAUUACUAGGGGUUUGCGAUAUACCGUCAAGCUUCCACAGCGAAAGCGUUAAGUAAUCCUCCUGGGGAGUACGCCGGCACCGGUGAAACU